UACAGAGACUGCAAGCGUUAUUCGGAUUCACUGGGCGUAAAGGGUGCGCAGGCGGCCAAGUGUGUGAGGCGUGAAAGCCCGGGGCUUAACCCCGGAAUUGCACCUCAAACUACUUGGCUAGAGCAUUGGAGAGGGUAGCAGAAUUCACGGUGUAGCAGUGAAAUGCGUAGAUAUCGUGAGGAAUACCAGAGGCGAAGGCGGCUACCUGGACAAUUGCUGACGCUCAGGCACGAAGGCCAGGGGAGCAAACGGG
Molecule: ribosomal RNA, 253 nt
Filed under: uncultured bacterium
Lineage: Bacteria
Description: partial 16S ribosomal RNA
Rfam family: Bacterial small subunit ribosomal RNA
Source: RNAcentral